UUUACUACAGAAAAUGACUGAGCGGCGAACGGGUGAGUAACGCGUGAGCAAUCUACCUUAGUUACAGGGAUAGCCCGAGGAAACUCGGAUUAAUACCUGAUAUUCUUUAAAUUUCGCAUGAAAUUAAAAGGAAAGGUCAGCCGAACUAAGAUGAGCUCGCGUUCUAUCAGCUAGUUGGUGAGGUAAAAGCUCACCAAGGCUACGACGGAUAGCUGGUCUGAGAGGACGAUCAGCCACACUGGGACUGAGACACGGCCCAGACUACUACGGGAGGCUGCAGCAGGGAAUAUUGCGCAAUGAGCGAAAGCUUGACGCAGCGACACCGCGUGUGGGAUGACGGAUCUAGGUUUGUAAACCACUUUCAGGAGGGAAGAAAAUGACGGUACCUCCACAAGAAGCCCCGGCCAACUACGUGCCAGCAGCCGCGGUAAUACGUAGGGGGCGAGCGUUGUCCGGAUUUAUUGGGCGUAAAGAGCUCGUAGGCGGUUCAACAAGUCGGUCGUGAAAGUUCAGGGCUCAACCCUGAAAUGUCGAUCGAUACUGUUGUGACUAGGAUACGGUAGAGGUGAGUGGAAUUCCGAGUGUAGCGGUGAAAUGCGUAGAUAUUCGGAGGAACACCAAUUGCGAAGGCAGCUCACUGGGCCGCUAUC
This 650-nucleotide ribosomal RNA is filed under the name uncultured marine bacterium. RNAcentral describes it as "bacterial SSU rRNA". It matches the Rfam family "Bacterial small subunit ribosomal RNA", at positions 74 to 741 of the family's 1533-position model. The record is from RNAcentral.